Molecule: ribosomal RNA, 468 nt
Filed under: uncultured bacterium
Lineage: Bacteria
Description: partial 16S ribosomal RNA
Rfam family: Bacterial small subunit ribosomal RNA
Source: RNAcentral
GACGAACGCUGGCGGCGUGCUUAACACAUGCAAGUCGAACGGAAAGGCCCUGCUUUUGUGGGGUGCUCGAGUGGCGAACGGGUGAGUAACACGUGAGUAACCUGCCCUUGACUUUGGGAUAACUUCAGGAAACUGGGGCUCAUACCGGAUAGGAGCUCCUGCUGCAUGGUGGGGGUUGGAAAGAUUCGGCGGUUGGGGAUGGACUCGCGGCUUAUCAGCUUGUUGGUGGGGUAGUGGCUUACCAAGGCUUUGACGGGUAGCCGGCCUGAGAGGGUGACCGGCCACAUUGGGACUGAGAUACGGCCCAGACUCCUACGGGAGGCAGCAGUGGGGAAUAUUGCACAAUGGGCGGAAGCCUGAUGCAGCAACGCCGCGUGCGGGAUGACGGCCGUCGGGUUGUAAACCGCUUUCGCCUGUUACGAAGCGUGAGUGACGGUAAUGGGUAAAGAAGCACCGGCUAACUACGUG